Molecule: non-coding RNA, 69 nt
Organism: Rattus norvegicus (Norway rat)
Lineage: Eukaryota; Metazoa; Chordata; Mammalia; Rodentia; Muridae
Source: Rfam
GGGGAUGUGGCUCAGUGGUAGAGCGCUUGCCUAGCAAGCACAAGGCCCUGGGUUCGGUCCCCAGCUCCG